Molecule: long non-coding RNA, 1026 nt
Organism: Mauremys reevesii (Reeves's turtle)
Lineage: Eukaryota; Metazoa; Chordata; Testudines; Geoemydidae
Exons: 3
Source: RefSeq, a predicted model, not a curated record
CUCUCUUUUUUUCCCCCAAGGGUGUUUUUCUCUUUUCUCUGUGUGUGGUUUGUGUGGGUGUGAGCAAGCCUGAUGGGAGACACCUGGGGAUGGAUUUGAUCAUCUUUCUCAGGAGUGAUCCUGCACUAUUAAAGUCAAGGAGAGUUUUGCUAUUGACUUCAAUGAGAAGAGAAACAGAAAAAGGUUGAUGGAAGAGUCCAGCCCAACUGGAACUUGAGCAGGAAUAUAUAUCUGAAGACGUCUCUGAAACAAAAUGUUCAGAAUUCUGCCAUGCAAAUGAAAGCUGACAAAUCUGCCUACAUUAAUCGUAUUAAUCAAUGAGUUGCUUGUGUGCACUAUACUCAUAUUUGGUAUGUAUAAGCUUCUCAUUGUGAAAUGAGAAACUAAGGCUAUGUUCAUACUAGAAACCUUACAUCUGCACCGCUGUAAGAUCUCCUGUGUGGCCACUCUAAGCCAACGGGAGAUAGCUCUCCCGCCAGCAUAAUUAAACCACCCCCAACAAGCGGCUGUAGCUAUGUCAUUGGGAAAGCGUCUCCUGCGGACAUAGCACUGUCCACGCUGGUGUUUCUGUCAGUGUAACUUAUGUCACUCAAGGCUGUGGUUUUUUUCACACCCCAAGCAACAUAAGUUGUACAGACAAAAGUGCCAGUGUAGACGUAGCGUAAAGCAAAAUUCAGCUAAUUAAAUCAAAUGCAGAAGAUGUUCCUUGCUCUACUGGUUGAGGAGUAAAGGGGGCAUCCCACACAACUGAGUUCUCUUUGGCUAUUUUAAACAUAUAAUUUAUAUUUUAGCAGCUAUUACCAGAAUGAUUCAUUAUUGAUAAAUAAUUGACAAAAUACAAGUACGAUUGAAAAAUAAGAUCAAAAUAAACAUAACAUAUACAUGUGGAUAAAAAAUUUUGAGAGGGCUCAAAGGAUGCCAGACCUCCACUCCAUUUACUUCUUCCUCUUUUCCCCUCCCCUCUGGUCCCUUGCUUCCCUCCUCUCCCUAUUCAUGUAUGUCUUUUCCUAUUUUAUUGCUGUUACU